RNAcentral lists this ribosomal RNA (253 nucleotides) under uncultured bacterium. Its description in RNAcentral is "partial 16S ribosomal RNA". It matches the Rfam family "Bacterial small subunit ribosomal RNA", at positions 524 to 776 of the family's 1533-position model. The record is from RNAcentral.
UACGAAGGGGGCGAGCGUUGUUCGGAAUUACUGGGCGUAAAGGGCUCGUAGGUGGCCAACUAAGUCGGACGUGAAAUCCCUCAGCUUAACUGGGGAACUGCAUCCGAUACUGGAUGGCUUGAGUUUGGGAGAGGGAUGCGGAAUUCCAGGUGUAGCGGUGAAAUGCGUAGAUAUCUGGAGGAACACCGGUGGCGAAGGCGGCAUCCUGGACCAACACUGACACUGAGGCACGAAAGCGUGGGGAGCAAACAGG